AGACGUCUACAUUAGAUACCCGCGUAGUCCCAGCCGUAAACUAUGCGCGUUAGGUGUAUCGGUGACCACGAGUCACCGAGGUGCCGAAGGGAAACCGUGAAACGUGCCGCCUGGGAAGUACGGUCGCAAGGCUGAAACUUAAAGGAAUUGGCGGGGAGCACCACAACGGGUGGAGCCUGCGGUUUAAUUGGACUCAACGCCGGGAAGCUCACCGGAUAAGACAGCGGAAUGAUUGCCGGGCUGAAGACUCUGCAUGACAAGCUG
This 264-nucleotide ribosomal RNA is filed under the name uncultured archaeon. Its description in RNAcentral is "partial 16S ribosomal RNA". It matches the Rfam family "Archaeal small subunit ribosomal RNA", at positions 717 to 982 of the family's 1478-position model. The record is from RNAcentral.